AUGCUUGACCUCAAAUCAGGUAGGACUACCCGCUGAACUUAAGCAUAUCAAUAAGCGGAGGAAAAGAAACUAACAAGGAUUCCCCUAGUAACUGCGAGUGAAGCGGGAAAAGCUCAAAUUUAAAAUCUGGCGGUCUCUGGCCGUCCGAGUUGUAAUCUAGAGAAGUAAUGCCCGUGCUGGACCGUGUAUAAGUCUCCUGGGAUGGGGCGUCAUAGAGGGUGAGAAUCCCGUCUUUGACACGGACUACCAGUGCAUUGUGGUAUGCUCUCAAAGAGUCGAGUUGUUUGGGAAUGCAGCUCAAAAUGGGUGGUAAAUUCCAUCUAAAGCUAAAUAUUGGCGAGAGACCGAUAGCGAACAAGUACCGUGAGGGAAAGAUGAAAAGAACUUUGGAAAGAGAGUUAAACAGUACGUGAAAUUGCUGAAAGGGAAACGCUUGAAGUCAGUCGCGUUGGCCGGGGAUCAGCCUUGCUUUUGCUUGGUGUACUUUCUGGUUGACGGGUCAGCAUCAAUUUUGACCGCUGGAAAAAGACCUGGGGAAUGUGGCAGCUUCGGCUGUGUUAUAGCCCCUAGUCGCAUACAGUGGUUGGGAUUGAGGAACUCAGCACGCCGCAAGGCCGGGUUUCGACCACGUUCGUGCUUAGGAUGCUGGCAUAAUGGC
Molecule: ribosomal RNA, 658 nt
Filed under: Agaricus subantarcticus
Lineage: Eukaryota; Fungi; Basidiomycota; Agaricomycetes; Agaricales; Agaricaceae
Also listed under: 1 other name
Description: eukaryotic LSU rRNA
Rfam family: Eukaryotic large subunit ribosomal RNA
Source: RNAcentral